Molecule: long non-coding RNA, 1928 nt
Filed under: Homo sapiens (human)
Lineage: Eukaryota; Metazoa; Chordata; Mammalia; Primates; Hominidae
Description: HSALNT0399387
Source: RNAcentral
AGUCCCGGGGUCCUAAUAGUCGGGACUAUUAGGUCAUCCUGGGUACUCAGGCCUCUAGACUCUAGACUGAGCUGCCUUGGUCACUCGGGGACAGUUGGCAGAGUAUUCGUGGUCAGGGAGGUGACCCGUGGUCAGCAGGAUCAGGCCACCCAGGGACAAAGGGUGCUUCUGCGCCAGGCCCUGGAGAAGGACAGAGCGGUGGGGACUCGGGGUCGGCCGCAGAUAGGGGAGUCACCACCUGCCGGGUAAGAGGGGAUUCAUCACAGGGGCCGAGGCAGGACGAGCGCCUCCUCCCAGCUCAGGCCGGGUCCCAGGCUGGACUCCUCCCUGUCCCCCAGGGCCGGCCUCCUUCAGAGCUGGCUCGGGACAAGCCUGGGAUGGAAAGGGGAAGUAGAAAGAGCUCAGGGCACAGGGAUUGGGGCCGAUCCUGGGGUCUGAGCUGUGGGGUGAGGAGGGGAUCGCCUGUCCCCUGGGGAGUGACGAUGUCACCCAGCCGUGGCCGAUGCUGGAGGUCAUGAUCUGAACCUUGACAGGUAACCCCAGGGCUGCCUUCCUGUUCUUCCCCUGGGCUGUCAGGGGACACCCUGCUCUGUUUUGUUUUUAAGUGACCAGAGACAGACACGUAACAUAGAAAACGCUAUCACUUUGAUCAUUUGUUUCAAAUGGAAGAAAAACCGACACAAGUGGGUUUCUGGUGGGAAGCGCUUCCCUCCAACUCCAGGAACUCCAUCAAGGAGUUAAGAAAGCACAGAGUCCUGUCAGCAGCCAGAGACAUGCUGGGCAGUGGUGACCUCGGAGCCACCCCGCGACAUGGAGAUCUCGAGCUCCGCCCUCCGUGCAGGGAGAUUCCUUUUGGAAAAAAUCUCUGGCAGAGUGGGAGGGUGUAGGGGCCAGCCACAUACAUGCUUGCUGCUAGGACCCCUUAGCCAUGGGCAGGGUGGGCACAGUGACCAGGGCCAGGAAACUUACAGGCCCACCAAAGAGUGUCAAUUUCAGUCAGAAGAAAAAAAAUUGAACUAUAUGAUAUUAAUAUAUUUAUCAUUAUACCAGUAACUCAUAAAAUAAAACUUCAAACUUUUUUUAUUUUUUGAGACAGAGUCUUGCUGUGUUGCCAGGCUGGAGUGCAGUGGCUCCAUCUCGGCUAACUGCAACCUCCUCCUCCCAGGUUCAAGCCAUUCUUCUGCCUCAGCCUCCCGAGUAGCUGGGACUACAGCCACCCACCACCACGCCUGGCUACUUCUUUGUAUUUUAGUAGAAACAGGGUUUCACCGUGUUGGUCAAGAUGGUCUCGAUCUCCUGACCUCGUAACCUGCCCGCCUUGGCCUCCCGAAGUGCUGGGAUUACAGGUGUGAGCCACCGCACCCAGCAAACUUCAAACUUUUUAAUGGAACAAGGACACACAGACAUUAAUCCCCAGUGUCCAUCAAAGUUGCAAUGCAGCCCUAACGCCUGGCAUCCUUGAAAGGGACGGGCAUUUAGUAAUGAGAUAUGCACAGCAGCAUAGUCAGCUGUGUGGUGCAUUCUCAGCUGUGCCUCAGCAGCCCUGAUGCAGACAUCCAGAAGGAGCACAGCCACUUUAUCCAGAGCAAUCAGCCAUGACUGCCUUUGCACUGUCCAUGCUCUCAGCCCACCACCUCCUCCCCCUGCCAUUGCAGUGGCUAACACUGGAGACGAAGACCAAGACACCACCGCCUUUCUCCAGUACCACUCAAAUCAGCACAGGCAAGGACAAAGGCCUCAAUCCACAACUGCUGAAGAUGGACCCUGGCCACAUGGGAUGGUCAGACACGCCUGCCCAGCUAUCUGCAGGCGAAGAGGCUCAGAAGAGGUUUAGGGGCCUGAAGGACAUCUUGCUUCCAUGUCCAUAUGAGCAGGCUAUUUCUGCUCCAUGAGUCAAUUUUGCCAUAUAAAAUACUUAAUUUCAGCCA